Molecule: unclassified non-coding RNA, 323 nt
Filed under: soil metagenome
Description: partial contains 5.8S ribosomal RNA, internal transcribed spacer 2, and large subunit ribosomal RNA
Rfam family: 5.8S ribosomal RNA (bases 1-120)
Source: RNAcentral
GAUGAAGAACGUAGCGAAAUGCGAUAAGUAAUGCGAAUUGCAGAAUUCAGUGAGUCAUCGAAUCUUUGAACGCACAUUGCGCCCUGUGGUAUUCCGCAGGGCAUGCCUGUUCGAGCGUCAUUUCAGCCCUCAAGCUCUGCUUGGUGUUGGGCCCUGCCCGCUGCGGCCGGCCCUAAAGACAGUGGCGGUGCCGCCUGGCCCUGAGCGUAGUACAUCUCUCGCUCCAGUGCCCGGUGGUAGCCUGCCAGAACCCCAACUCUCGUGGUUGACCUCGGAUCAGGUAGGGAUACCCGCUGAACUUAAGCAUAUCAAUAAGCGGAAGA